This is a non-coding RNA of Enterococcus devriesei, 98 nucleotides long. Lineage: Bacteria; Bacillati; Bacillota; Bacilli; Lactobacillales; Enterococcaceae. The record is from Rfam.
AAUUACUCUACCAUUAGAACCAGUUGGUUCUUUUAGUAUGUAGAAUGUUUCAGACUUUAGUGAGGUAUGAAACGAUUCUGUCGGUGCGUUAUCUGAAG